Molecule: unclassified non-coding RNA, 169 nt
Filed under: uncultured Ascomycota
Lineage: Eukaryota; Fungi; Ascomycota
Description: sequence contains ITS1
Source: RNAcentral
CUGCUUGCUCAUGGCCGCCCGGGUGGGGAAACCCCCCUGGCGGUACGGCAACACACCCUUGACUAUGUAUACCUUUUGUUAUUUCCCUCGGCGGGCAACCCGCCGCUGGGAACACCAUAAACCCUUUUGUAUAAAGUAUCAAAACUUCUGAAACAAACCUAAAUUAUCA